This 736-nucleotide ribosomal RNA is filed under the name Staphylococcus aureus. RNAcentral's name for it is "partial 23S ribosomal RNA". It matches the Rfam family "Bacterial large subunit ribosomal RNA", at positions 654 to 1394 of the family's 2925-position model. The record is from RNAcentral. Lineage: Bacteria; Bacillati; Bacillota; Bacilli; Caryophanales; Staphylococcaceae.
GUAAAUGUGGAGCCGUAGCGAAAGCGAGUCUGAAUAGGGCGUUUAGUAUUUGGUCGUAGACCCGAAACCAGGUGAUCUACCCUUGGUCAGGUUGAAGUUCAGGUAACACUGAAUGGAGGACCGAACCGACUUACGUUGAAAAGUGAGCGGAUGAACUGAGGGUAGCGGAGAAAUUCCAAUCGAACCUGGAGAUAGCUGGUUCUCUCCGAAAUAGCUUUAGGGCUAGCCUCAAGUGAUGAUUAUUGGAGGUAGAGCACUGUUUGGACGAGGGGCCCCUCUCGGGUUACCGAAUUCAGACAAACUCCGAAUGCCAAUUAAUUUAACUUGGGAGUCAGAACAUGGGUGAUAAGGUCCGUGUUCGAAAGGGAAACAGCCCAGACCACCAGCUAAGGUCCCAAAAUAUAUGUUAAGUGGAAAAGGAUGUGGCGUUGCCCAGACAACUAGGAUGUUGGCUUAGAAGCAGCCAUCAUUUAAAGAGUGCGUAAUAGCUCACUAGUCGAGUGACACUGCGCCGAAAAUGUACCGGGGCUAAACAUAUUACCGAAGCUGUGGAUUGUCCUUUGGACAAUGGUAGGAGAGCGUUCUAAGGGCGUUGAAGCAUGAUCGUAAGGACAUGUGGAGCGCUUAGAAGUGAGAAUGCCGGUGUGAGUAGCGAAAGACGGGUGAGAAUCCCGUCCACCGAUUGACUAAGGUUUCCAGAGGAAGGCUCGUCCGCUCUGGGUUAGUCGGGUCCUAA